Molecule: long non-coding RNA, 481 nt
Filed under: Solanum tuberosum (potato)
Lineage: Eukaryota; Viridiplantae; Streptophyta; Magnoliopsida; Solanales; Solanaceae
Description: long non-coding RNA (STUB_LNC008717)
Source: RNAcentral
UCCCAGCCAGCCAGUUGUUUGUUGCAAAACAGCCAUUGAUACCAUUCCAAAGCUUCACCGUUGAGAUAAAAGGAUGCCAAGGUUAGCUUGUACGUUUCUGCGAUUCCGUAAAAAUCAAAAUAGCGUUUUGAGAUAAAAGGAUGCCAAGGUUAGCUUGUGCGUUUCUGCGAUUCCGUAAAAAUCAAAAUAACGUUCAGCUUGGAAAAUCCACGCCUCUGGAUUUUCACCACGAAAUCGUCCUAGUUCCACGGAGCUGGCCUAUGACGGAGUGUGGGGGCUUCAAGAGUGUCUUUCCCGUGAUGAGGACGAGCAACCUCCAUUGUUGGAUCUUGAAUGUGAGGCCCUGCCGGAACGAACUUUCCGGUAAUCUCCUGUAACAUAUGGCGAAUGUCUGCAAUAUCUUUGGAAAAUGACUCUUUCGCCUCCUUAAUGGAUUCAUUGAUGAGAGCCUUGAGUCUUUGGUUCUCCAUGAGAAACCUCU